UACGUAGGGUGCAAGCGUUAAUCGGAAUUACUGGGCGUAAAGCGUGCGCAGGCGGUGAUGUAAGACAGGUGUGAAAUCCCCGGGCUUAACCUGGGAACUGCAUUUGUGACUGCAUCGCGGGAGUGCGGCAGAGGGGGAUGGAAUUCCGCGUGUAGCAGUGAAAUGCGUAGAUAUGCGGAGGAACACCGAUGGCGAAGGCAAUCCCCUGGGCCUGCACUGACGCUCAUGCACGAAAGCGUGGGGAGCAAACAGG
Molecule: ribosomal RNA, 253 nt
Filed under: uncultured bacterium
Lineage: Bacteria
Description: partial 16S ribosomal RNA
Rfam family: Bacterial small subunit ribosomal RNA
Source: RNAcentral